UGGCUCAACGUCAGAGACUUAGACCGCCUGU
Molecule: non-coding RNA, 31 nt
Filed under: Homo sapiens (human)
Lineage: Eukaryota; Metazoa; Chordata; Mammalia; Primates; Hominidae
Source: RNAcentral